Non-coding RNA from Elaeis guineensis (African oil palm), 2043 nucleotides. The record is from RefSeq and is a predicted model, not a curated record. NCBI's taxonomy places the organism in Eukaryota, Viridiplantae, Streptophyta, Magnoliopsida, Arecales, Arecaceae.
AAUCCUCCACCUCCCCUCCUAAGCUUCCAUGUGGCCGUACAUAGCAGUCAAAGGGAAGAGCAUACUACAAAACCCUUCUAGCUUCCGUUCUUUGUUCCCCUUUUAACCCCAAUAUCCCGACGAGAAGAAUCGGAAGAAAGAAAAAGAGGAAGAGGAAGCGGCCGUUUCGCUUCUUUUCUUUUCUCUUCUCUCCCUUUCUUGCUGGGUGGUGGCAGGCGGGACAUAUGGCCGCUGUCAACAGCGUAGCCUCUCCUUCGAGGUUUCUACCCCUUCCAUCCCGGCCCCGGCCUUCUUCCUUGCCCUCCACCUCCAAGCCCUGCCUCUCCUCCUCUAGAUUCCACGGGACCCUCGCCCCUCCUCCUUGGAGGCCCGACCGAGCGCGGAGGGAUCUGGCUGUCGCCGCCUCGGGGACGGCGGCGGAGGACCUGGACGUGAUCCCCGUGAAGAGCCCCGACUCAACGGACCGGCAGGACGGGGUCGUCGCCGUGGGUGCGGUGAGAGAGCAGGAGGACGAGGACGGCGGUGGGAGCAGCAGUCACAAUCAGGUUGGAGGAUUCGCCUUCGAGAACGGCGGGGUUGGUGGAGUGACUGGCGGCGGCGGCGGAAGCUUAUACUCUUCUCCGUUGUCUUCGUCUCUGGAAGAAGGUGAGGAUGUGGAGCGGCUGGUGGAUCGAGCGAUCAACGCCGCGAUCGUGCUUGCAGCGGGGACCUACGCCAUCACCAAGCUGCUUACCAUCGAUAGGGACUACUGGCAUGGGUGGACCCUUUAUGAGAUCCUAAGAUAUGCACCCCAGCACAACUGGACUGCUUAUGAGGAAGCUUUGAAAACAAACCCUGUUCUGGCCAAAAUGGUGAUAAGUGGAGUAGUUUAUUCUCUAGGGGAUUGGAUUGCACAGUGCUAUGAAGGGAAACCACUUUUUGAUUUUGACCGUGCUCGCAUGUUCAGAUCUGGUGUUGUUGGUUUUACUCUACAUGGGUCCCUUUCUCAUUACUAUUACCAAUUCUGUGAGUCUCUUUUUCCUUUCCAGGACUGGUGGGUGGUUCCUGCUAAAGUGUUGUUUGACCAAACUGCUUGGGCCGCAAUAUGGAACAGCAUUUACUAUGCAGUCCUGGGAUUUUUGCGUUUCGAAUCACCAGCUAACAUAUUCAGUGAACUGAAGGCUACAUUUUGGCCAAUGUUAACUGUUGGAAGCUUUGGCCCUUUGCCCACCUGAUUACUUAUGGUGUUAUACCAGUAGAGCAGAGACUUCUCUGGGUGGAUUGUGUGGAGCUGGUUUGGGUGACCAUUUUAUCAACUUAUUCAAAUGAGAAAUCUGAAGCAAGAAAUUCAGAGGCGAUGUCUGAGUCAAAUGCUACUCCACCUGCUGUUCCUGAGGAAUCGAUAAAGUAGAUGGAAAAACUGACCAUGUAUUGGCUGGAACGUUGUGGGAAUUAGCACCACAGAUUUUUGUUGGCUGGGAAAUGCAGCUAAAGCAGCCCCAGGAUCAUCAAGUGGGUAUAAGUUCCUUGAACCGUGGCAAUAGUUCUUUAAUGAGAACCGGUUUUGCCAGUUACAAGUCAGAUAGUAAUGCAGGAGUGAGCUGUUACGAGUGUAAAUAUUACAUGGCUUGUUGUAACAGUCAUACAAGGUUCAUUCAAAUAAGUAAUUUUUACAAGGUAUGUGUCUAAUAAUUAUCAAAGCUUCAUAUGGUUAUAUUGUGAGCUUGUUUUUUCUUUUCUUUUCUUUUUCCAUCCUGUGUGUGCAAUGAACAGGAGAUAAAAUUAAAACAGCUCGUCAUGGCUCGUGGGGUUUGAAAUUUUGGCCUUGCGGAGAAGAGGUAGACGAGUCUUCAGGCUAUAGCUGUAAUUCGAGAAAAGCGACCCAUAUGUUCAGCCUGUGGUUGUUGGGCCAUUACGCCAUACGUGUACUCUGGCUCCGUUUGGUUUGUAGUUCUGCCAUCAUUAAUUACCAAUUCUCGAUUCAUGGUGGAUGGGAUGAUGGAUGUGGAAGUUGUUAAGGGAGCACGUUUUGUUAAAAGAAUUGGGAAGCUAUUCUGAUGGAAA